GCUACCAUGCAGUCGACGGUAACAGAGGGUAUUUUUGUACUCUGCUGACGAGUGGCGAACGGGUGAGUAAGGUAUAGUUAAUUUGCCUCUUGGAGGGGGAUAGCCAUUGGAAACGAUGAUUAAUACCCCAUACUCCUAACUUAGUAAGGUAAGUUAGGGAAAAGCGAUUAAGUGCCAAGAGAUAAGACUAUAUGGUAUCAGGUAGUUGGUGGGGUAAGAGCCUACCAAGCCGAUGACGCCUAGCUGGUCUGAGAGGAUGAUCAGCCACACUGGAACUGAGUCACGGUCCAGACUCCUACGGGAGGCAGCAGUGGGGAAUAUUGGGCAAUGGGGGAAACCCUGACCCAGCAACGCCGCGUGGAGGAAGAGGCAUUUCGGUGUGUAAACUCCUUUUAUAUAGGAAGAUAAUGACGGUACUAUAUGAAUAAGCGCCGGCUAACUCCGUGCCAGCAGCCGCGGUAAUACGGAGGGUGCAAGCGUUACUCGGAAUCACUGGGCGUAAAGCGCAUGUAGGCGGGUUAAUAAGUUAGAAGUGAAAUCCUACAGCUUAACUGUAGAACUGCUUCUAAAACUGUUAACCUAGAGUCUGGGAGAGGAAGAUGGAAUUAGUAGUGUAGGGGUAAAAUCCGUAGAGAUUACUAGGAAUACCAAAAGCGAAGGCGAUUUUCUGGAACAGUACUGACGCUGAGAUGCGAAAGCG
This 700-nucleotide ribosomal RNA is filed under the name uncultured bacterium. RNAcentral's name for it is "bacterial SSU rRNA". It matches the Rfam family "Bacterial small subunit ribosomal RNA", at positions 48 to 761 of the family's 1533-position model. The record is from RNAcentral.